GCGGGUGUAGCUCAGUGGUAGAGCGUCACGUUGCCAACGUGAAUGUCGUCGGUUCAAAUCCGUCCACCCGCU
This 72-nucleotide transfer RNA is filed under the name Tepidisphaera sp. Its description in RNAcentral is "tRNA-Gly". It matches the Rfam family "tRNA". From Rfam's summary of the family: Transfer RNA (tRNA) molecules are approximately 80 nucleotides in length. Lineage: Bacteria; Pseudomonadati; Planctomycetota; Phycisphaerae; Tepidisphaerales; Tepidisphaeraceae. RNAcentral also lists the same sequence under 1 other name. The record is from RNAcentral.